GAUGAACGCUGACAGAAUGCUUAACACAUGCAAGUCUUUGGCGAAGCUGUGCUUGCACAGCCUAGCCAAGGCGGACGGGUGAGUAACGCGUAAGGAACUUGCCCUGCAGUCAGGGAUAACAGACGGAAACGACUGAUAAGACCUGGUAAAGUCAGGCGGACUCAUGUCCAGCCUGGUGAAAAGAGAUGCUGCAGGAGAGCCUUGCGUCCUAUUAGCUUGUUGGUGGGGUAACGGCCCACCAAGGCGAUGAUAGGUAGCCGGCCUGAGAGGGUGGACGGCCACAAGGGGACUGAGAUACGGCCCUUACUCCUACGGGAGGCAGCAGUGGGGAAUAUUGGACAAUGGGGGCAACCCUGAUCCAGCAAUUCUGUGUGCACGAUGAAGGUUUUCGGAUUGUAAAGUGCUUUCAGCAGGGAAGAAAAAAUGACGGUACCUGCAGAAGAAGCGACGGCUAAAUACGUG
RNAcentral lists this ribosomal RNA (462 nucleotides) under uncultured bacterium. RNAcentral's name for it is "partial 16S ribosomal RNA". It matches the Rfam family "Bacterial small subunit ribosomal RNA", at positions 28 to 507 of the family's 1533-position model. The record is from RNAcentral.